CACUAUACAGCUGGAUGAACUUUUUGCAUUGUGCGAUUCAAUGGAUUGGAAUAUUAUCUGUGGCUCUAUAAAAGGAGACUGAGCUAGUCGCUGAAAUCAUCACCUACUCACAAUUCUUCUUAAUUGUUUUGGAAGUGGAGCUUUGAGUGACUGACGUAAGAUGAGGAGGAACACGCUUCUUGCACUCUUCAUUUGGGCAAUGGCGGCUGCAUUAUUCAUCUUUGCUGUGGCCAUGCCAGCGGAGGGCAGGAGAGAUGGUAUCCACCCGCAAGUCUGGGUGCCGAUCCUGCUAUUUCACGAGGAAUGGCUUCUGGAUCCAGUGUGGCAAAACCUGCUGCCGCUCUGACGCUGAGAACUGCUGCUUGGGAAGCCACUAGUAGCUUCGUCAGGCUCUGAAUAACUGGCCUUCAAAUCCUUGUGCAUCUACUAAAUAAAGUCGAUGAACUAUCCCCCUGCAUAUCCUGAUAUUGGAAUGCGGGCUCUCCUCAUUUGAACACUAAGUUCUUUACUGUCCUAAGAGUAAUAUGCAGUAGUUUCUGACUGCUCAAUUAUGCCUAGCAAGAGAAUAAAUCAAAAUAUGUAUUUUUUU
Molecule: long non-coding RNA, 589 nt
Organism: Panicum virgatum (switchgrass)
Lineage: Eukaryota; Viridiplantae; Streptophyta; Magnoliopsida; Poales; Poaceae
Exons: 2
Source: RefSeq, a predicted model, not a curated record